This 252-nucleotide ribosomal RNA is filed under the name uncultured bacterium. RNAcentral's name for it is "partial 16S ribosomal RNA". It matches the Rfam family "Bacterial small subunit ribosomal RNA", at positions 524 to 776 of the family's 1533-position model. The record is from RNAcentral.
UACGAGGGGGGCAACUGUUGUUCGGAAUCACUGGGCGUAAAGGGAGCGUAGGCGGGCUCUUAAGUUAGGUGUUUAAUCCCGGGGCCCAACCCCGGACAGGCACCUAAACUGGGAGUCUUGAAUAGUGGAGAGGACGGCGGAAUUGGGGGUGUAGCGGUGGAAUGCGUAGAGAUCCCCAAGAACACCAGUUGCGAAGGCGGCCGUCUGGACACAUAUUGACGCUGAGGCUCGAAAGCAUGGGGAGCAAACAGG